Molecule: ribosomal RNA, 440 nt
Filed under: uncultured bacterium
Lineage: Bacteria
Description: partial 16S ribosomal RNA
Rfam family: Bacterial small subunit ribosomal RNA
Source: RNAcentral
CCUAGGGGGGGCAGCAGUGGGGGAUAUUGCACAAUGGGCGCAAGCCUGAUGCAGCGACGCCGCGUGAGCGAAGAAGGAUUUCGGUAUGGAAAGCUCUAUCAGCAGGGAAGAAAAUGACGGUACCUGACUAAGAAGCUCCGGCUAAAUACGUGCCAGCAGCCGCGGUAAUACGGAUGGAGCAAGCGUUAUCCGGAUUUACUGGGUGUAAAGGGAGCGUAGGCGGCUCUGGAAGUCUGAUGUGAAAAUGUGGGGCUCAACCCCAAACGUGCAUGGGAAACUGCCGGGCUUGAGUGCCGGAGAGGCAGGCGGAAUUCCUAGUGUAGCGGUGAUAUGCGUAGAUAUUAGGAGGAACACCAGUGGCGAAGGCGGCCUGCUGCACCGUCACUGACGCUGAGGCUCGAAAGCGUGGGGAUCAAACAGGAUUAGAUACCCGAGUAGUC